Molecule: ribosomal RNA, 466 nt
Filed under: uncultured bacterium
Lineage: Bacteria
Description: partial 16S ribosomal RNA
Rfam family: Bacterial small subunit ribosomal RNA
Source: RNAcentral
CGAACGCUGGCGGCGUGCUUAACACAUGCAAGUCGACCGGAAAGGCCCUGCUUUUGUGGGGUGCUCGAGUGGCGAACGGGUGAGUAACACGUGAGUAACCUGCCCUUGACUUUGGGAUAACUUCAGGAAACUGGGGCUAAUACCGGAUAGGAGCUCCUGCUGCAUGGUGGGGGUUGGAAAGUUUCGGCGGUUGGGGAUGGACUCGCGGCUUAUCAGCUUGUUGGUGGGGUAGUGGCUUACCAAGGCUUUGACGGGUAGCCGGCCUGAGAGGGUGACCGGCCACAUUGGGACUGAAAUACGGCCCAGCCUCCUACGGGAGGCAGCAGUGGGGAAUAUUGCACAAUGGGCGGAAGCCUGAUGCAGCAACGCCGCGUGCGGGAUGACGGCCUUCGGGUUGUAAACCGCUUUCGCCUGUGACGAAGCGUGAGUGACGGUAAUGGGUAAAGAAGCACCGGCUAACUACGUG